AUUAGUUUACUAUUGGAGCGGUUAGUGGCGGACUGGUGAGUAACACGUAAGCAACCUGCCUAUCAGAGGGGAACAACAGUUAGAAAUGACUGCUAAUACCGCAUAUGCCUUAGAAUCACAUGGUUCAAAAGGGAAAGGAGCAAUCCGCUGAUAGAUGGGCUUGCGUCUGAUUAGCUAGUUGGUGGGGUAACGGCCUACCAAGGCGACGAUCAGUAGCCGACCUGAGAGGGUGAUCGGCCACAUUGGAACUGAGACACGGUCCAAACUCC
RNAcentral lists this ribosomal RNA (269 nucleotides) under uncultured Eubacteriales bacterium. RNAcentral describes it as "uncultured Clostridiales bacterium partial 16S ribosomal RNA". It matches the Rfam family "Bacterial small subunit ribosomal RNA", at positions 74 to 339 of the family's 1533-position model. Lineage: Bacteria; Bacillati; Bacillota; Clostridia; Eubacteriales. The record is from RNAcentral.